AUUGGAUUAUAUGACUGGCGGAUAAAUAUGGAUCUAACCAUAGGGGAAUAUAAUCUUUAGUAAAUCGCCCGCCUGGAUAUUGAGU
RNAcentral lists this non-coding RNA (85 nucleotides) under Halanaerobium kushneri. Its description in RNAcentral is "ZTP sequence". It matches the Rfam family "ZMP/ZTP riboswitch aptamer (pfl RNA motif)". From Rfam's summary of the family: Previously known as pfl RNA. ZMP is also known as AICAR. The record is from RNAcentral. Lineage: Bacteria; Bacillati; Bacillota; Clostridia; Halanaerobiales; Halanaerobiaceae.